CACUUUACAGCUAGCCUAAACCCCAUAACCCAACAAAUAAAUAUUAAUACCCCCUCCUGCCCUACAAAGAUUUAAAACAAAACAUUCUCCCGCCUUAGUAUAGGAGAUAGAAAAGGAUCUCAGAGCGACAGAUAAAGUACCGCAAGGGAACGCUGAAAGAGAAAUGAAAGACCACUAAGUACAAAAAAGCAGAGAUUAACCCUCGUACCUUUUGCAUCAUGAUUUAGCCAGUAACCCCAAGCAAAGAGCCCUUCAGUUUGUAACCCCGAAACUAAGCGAGCUACUCCAAGACAGCCUAUUAUAAUAGGGCGAACCCGUCUCUGUGGCAAAAGAGUGGGGAGAGCUUUGAGUAGAGGCGAGAAACCUACCGAGCCUAGUUAUAGCUGGUUGCCUGGGAAAUGGAUAGAAGUUCAGCCUCCCAAUUCUUUUACCCCGAACCCUCAAAAAACCGAAGGCAAAAAAGAAAUUGAGAGAGUUAGUCAAAAGAGGUGCAGCUCUUUUGACCAAGGAUACAACUUUUUCUAGAGGAUAAAGAUUAUAAUUUAAAACCCUAAUACUUAAGUAGGCCUGAGAGCAGCCACCCUUAAAGAAAGCGUUAUAGCUCAAGUAUUAGAUACCCUAAAAUAUUUUAAUAACUCAAUCUUACUCCCUUAAACACUACCAGGCCCUUCCAUGCACCCAUGGAAAAGAUUAUGCUAAUAUGAGUAAUAAGAGGGGCACGCCCCUCUCCCCACACAAGUGUAAUUCGGAACGGACCCACCACCGAAGUUUAACGAGCCCAAUCAAAGAGGGAAAUGAGGUAAUAACCGAAAACAAGAAAUCCUCUCAACAAAAACCGUUAACCCCACACUGGCGUGUUCAAAAGGAAAGACUAAAAGAAAGAGAAGGAAUUCGGCAAAAAUUUAAAGCCUCGCCUGUUUACCAAAAACAUCGCCUCUUGCAACUAACGUAUAAGAGGUCCCACCUGCCCUGUGACAAUUGUUUAACGGCCGCGGUAUUUUGACCGUGCGAAGGUAGCGUAAUCACCUGUCUUUUAAAUGGAGACCUGUAUGAAUGGCAAGACGAGGGCUUAACUGUCUCCUCUAUCCAGUCAAUGAAAUUGAUCUCCCCGUGAAGAAGCGGGGAUAAAAACAUAAGACGAGAAGACCCUAUGGAGCUUUAGAUAGCAGGACAGCCUAUAUCAAUAGGCCUUCUUUACCAGGUACAAAUAUAAUACGGACCUGCCCUGUGUCUUUGGUUGGGGCGACCGCGGAGAAGAAAAAAACCCCCGCGCGGAACAGGAAUAUAUUGUUCUUUCAACUAAGAGUCCCUGCUCUAAUUAACAGAAUUUUUGACCACAAGGAUCCGGCAAAGCCGAUCAACGAACCUAGUUACCCUAGGGAUAACAGCGCAAUCCCCUUUGAGAGACCAUAUCGACAAGGGGGUUUACGACCUCGAUGUUGGAUCGGGACAUCCUAAUGGUGCAGCCGCUAUUGAGGGUUCGUUUGUUCAACGAUUAAAGUCCUACGUGAUCUGAGUUCAGACCGGAGUAAUCCAGGUCAGUUUCUAUCUAUGACAUGCCCUUUUCUAGUACGCAGGGACCGAGAAGGAGGUGCCCCUACCAAAAGUACGCCCCACCUUAACCUAAUGGAAAACAACUAAAAUAGGUAUAGAAGGUGUAUAAACCCCGCCUGAUAUAACGGCAG
Molecule: ribosomal RNA, 1685 nt
Filed under: Haplophryne mollis
Lineage: Eukaryota; Metazoa; Chordata; Actinopteri; Lophiiformes; Linophrynidae
Description: 16S rRNA
Rfam family: Bacterial large subunit ribosomal RNA (bases 109-1570)
Source: RNAcentral